GGCUGGUUAGCUCAGUGGGUUAGAGCGUGGUGCUGAUAACACCAAGGUCGCGGGUUCAGUCCCUGUUCAGUCC
This 73-nucleotide transfer RNA is filed under the name Apaloderma vittatum (bar-tailed trogon). It matches the Rfam family "tRNA". From Rfam's summary of the family: Transfer RNA (tRNA) molecules are approximately 80 nucleotides in length. Lineage: Eukaryota; Metazoa; Chordata; Aves; Trogoniformes; Trogonidae. The record is from Rfam by way of RNAcentral.